Long non-coding RNA from Acipenser ruthenus (sterlet), 3906 nucleotides. RefSeq lists it as uncharacterized. The transcript has 4 exons. NCBI's taxonomy places the organism in Eukaryota, Metazoa, Chordata, Actinopteri, Acipenseriformes, Acipenseridae. The record is from RefSeq and is a predicted model, not a curated record.
GGAUGAGACGGUCUCCACAGUCUGGAGUCUGAUCUCUGACAGCCUCAACAUACCUGUCAAUCAACAGGGACUCCUCUACAAAGGCAAGGCGCUGGCAGGUAGGCUGAACAGCACAGCACAGCACAGCACAGCACAGCACAGCUCACCCCUCCUCUCACCCCUCGCCUCAUCCCUCCUCUCACUCCUCGCCUCACCCCGGGUCAGUGUGGCACAGCCUGCCUGCUCUUCUGAACAAACACUUCAGCCCUGCCGACGCAGUGAGAGUCUGGAGCAGCAACACAAGGUCUGUGAGGAUGAGAAGGUCUCCACAGUCUGGAGUCUGAUCUCUGACAGCCUCAACAUACCUGUCAAUCAACAGGGACUCCUCUACAAAGGCAAGGCGCUGGCAGGUGAUGAAGUGACACUUUGAAUAUGGGGCCUGAUGAGCGAAGUAUCCUUUUCAUGUGGUUUUGGUUUUGCCGUUGUGAGCAGGUAUGGGAGACAGCACCGUGUCUGCAUGUGAAAUAACAAAGUCAUCGCAGUGGAGGGACUCUCUGAAGGCUGCUGUUUGUGGAUUUGUCUUGUAAUGUCAAAGAAGUCCCCUGGGUCGACAUUGUCUACCUUUUAGGAUUUUGAAUGUUUGAAUCAGAUCGCCCUGUAGUCGUCUUUGUUCAAGACUGAAUAGAUUCAAUUCUUUUAGCCUGUCUGCAUAUGACAUGCCUUUUAAACCCGGGAUAAUUCUGGUUGCUCUUCUUUGCACUCUUUCUAGAGCAGCAAUAUCCUUUUUGUAACAAGGUGACCAGAACUGAACACAAUAUUCUAGGUGAGGUCUUACUAAUUCAUUGUAAAAUUUUAACAUUACUUCCCUUGAUUUACAUUCAACACUCCUCACAAUAUAUCCAAGCAUCUUGUUGGCAUUUUUUUUAUAGCUUCCCCACAUUGUCUAGAGGAAGACAUUUCUGAGUCAACAUAAACUCCUAGGUCUUUUUCAUAGUUCCCUUCUUCAAUUUCAGUAUCUCCCAUAUGAUAUUUGUAAUGCACGUUUUUAUUGCCUGCAUGCAAUACUUUACACUUUUCUCUAUUAAAUUUCAUUUGUCAUGUGUCUGCCCAGGUCUGAAUGCUGUCUAGAUCAUUUUGAAUGACCUUUGCUGCUGCAACAGUGUUUGCCACUCCUAUUUUUGUGUCGUCUGCAGAUUUAACAAGUUUGCUUACUAUACCAGAAUCUAAAUAAUUAAUGUAGAUUAGGAAUAGCAGAGGACCCAAUACUGAUCCCUGUGGUACACCACUGGUUACCUUGCUCCAUUUUGAGGUUUCUCCUCUAAGCAGUACUUUCUGUUUUCUACAUGUUUACCACUCCCUAAUCCAUGUGCAUGCAUUUGCAUCCAUGUGCAUCCCCUGGUCAGCUGUCCAGCUCACUGCUGCAGAAGUUUGUUUGGGGCUGGGACAAUGGACUUGUGUGUUUUAGCCAUUUGUUAAUCUUUGAAGAGGACCUGCAAGUUUGUCUUGCAGUCUUCCCUGCAAUAAUGAUGGACUUUAUUUAUUUGAGAAUCUGUGUUGGAAAAUGUACUUUUUGACGGUGAAGUUGUGUUUAAAAAAACAAGUAAAGGAAAUGUACAUGAUCUCUAACUCGCUAUUUGACAAAUAACAAUUAAAAAAUGAAAGCAUGUGUGAUGCCUAUUUCCCUGCAAGCCCUUUUCUUUGCCCACUGGAGCACACAGCCUCUUAUGGGGGUUUGGAACCGCAAAUCACUGCAUCUUAAACACACAGCUCUAGAGUCCGUAACUACAGCAUGUACUGUACCGUUUAUUGUGUGUGUUUUAAUGAAGUCUGCUGCUGUACUUGUCUGGCUGUGAGCUUUUGCGUUACCAACAAACAAGGAAUUAAACAAAACAAAAGCAGCUCCGUUCUCAGCCUGGCGUGAGAUUGAUUUUUUUUUUUUUUUAUCUACAAUGGGAAGUGCUUUAGACUGAACAACCUCAAGCUCCCUUCAUCUUGUCACAGCUCUGCACUGUGAUAUAAAGUCUAUUUCCUGUACAUUGUCAUUAUUUUUUGUGUUUUAUUUAUUGUGAUUAUUAUUAUGAUUUUAAGAAUGUAUCGGAAAUGUCUUUGUUUUUGCACAGUGGUAAGGUUAGUCCGAGUCAUUACAAUGGGCAACUGAGCUGUGUUAAGAUAAAACUUUUUUUUUUUAAAUUAAAGAAAAUUAUCUUUAUUAAAAUCAACAGUUCUACUAAAUGGCCACACGAUGGCAGCAUUGAAUAAGGAAUAGCAAGAGCUUCGUUCUGCCUGUCUUCAUAAAGUGCACUGCCUGCUUUGCCCAUUGUUGUAACCUGCUUGACAAAGCCACGCUGAAUUAAUCAGCUCACUGGGGGUGGGGGUGUGUCUAUUUAUUAUUAUUUUCUUAGCAUGUGCCCUUAUCCAGCGCGACUUACAAUUGUUAUAAGAUAUCACAUUAUUUUUUACAUACAAUUCCCCAUUUAUAUAGUUGAGUUUUUUCUGGAGCAAUCUAGGUAAAGUACCUUGCUCAAGGGUACAGCAGCAGUGUCCCCCCCCACCUAGGAUUGAACCCACAACCUUCCGGUCAAGAGUCCAGAGCCCUAACCACUACUCCACACUACUGCCCGUAUUUGUUUGACUCUGUCAAAGAUACAAUAGAAGUGACUCUUUUAUUUUAGCUAUUUUCAAGGCAGUAAUCACCUCCAUGUUGUACAAAUCAUUAGUCCAGUUCAAGUCACAAAUGAGUGUAGUGGUACAGCUGGUAGGAUGGCUCAGUUGGUAGAGCACAGGGCCCUGAUUCCCAGGGUUGGUGGUCCAAACCCCAUUCACAAUGCCUGUUUUUCUGGUUUUUUUUUUUUUCAAGUUGGUUAAUUUGCCUUGUAGGCAAUGUAAAACUAACAUCAAGGACAGCUGCUAGGUGUCGCAGUGGGGUUGGUCCCUGUGCUUAAAUGCUGUUUACCUUGAGAGACUGGGAUCAAAUCCAGGCUGCAGAUUGAAAUCGUCUGUUUUCACAGCACCUUGGAGUUUGAAUCUGUUAAAGACACGAUAGAAGUGACUCUUUUAUUGGAUAUUUCCAAUGAUCUGCAUUUUGUACAAAUCAUUAGUUAAUGUACUGGAGGUCAUUUGACAGCAGGAGAGAGCAGUUGUCUGGCUGCCUCAAUUGGUAGAGCACUGGACUCUGAUUUCCAGGGUUGUUGGUUAAUCUGUCGAUUUAAAAAAUAUUGUUAAAUUUACCUUUUUAUCAGGUUUAUAAGGUUUGGCUUUGAAUCCAGUUUAAGUCACAAAUGAAACGAAGCUGAGAAUCCCCUUAGCCCCCAGGUCCACACCACACAAUGUAAUAAUGUGUUUCACGCAGCAGGAGAGCCAGUCAGCUGGAUAGCUCUGUUGGUAGAGCAGCAGGAGAGCCAGUCAGCUGGAUAGCUCUGUUGGUAGAGCAGCAGGAGAGCCAGUCAGCUGGAUAGCUCUGUUGGUAGAGCAGGGGACUGUGAUUCCCAUGGUAGCGGGAUGAAACCCUUGCUAAGGGUAUGUGUUUCAUUUUCAUUUCAAACACUUUGCCCAUUUUGAUAGACUUGGGUUUACAUAACAGGACAUCGUUUCAUACAAAUAAUAAUAUAAUGAGGGUGAUAUAAGGGCUUCUCUGCAAUGCCAGCUUGUCACAAGCAGACAGGUGGUGCAGUGGGCUAGUUCACUGGUAUGCUGUGUUGGUUGCUGUGGGGGACUGGGUUCAAAUCCAGGUGCAUUUCUCCUUUGUUUUCAAAGACUUGGUUAAUUUCUUAUAUAAGGCAAUGAAAAAGCAGACUACUCCGUGGAAGUGAGAUGGGUUGGAAUCCAUUUCAAGUCACAAAUGAAACGAAGCUGUGAAUCAAAUUAACACAAUAUAAUAAUGUGUUUCACGCAGUAGGAGAACCAGUCAGCUGGAUAGCUCUGUCAGUA